GAUGAACGCUGGCGGCGUGCCUAAUACAUGCAAGUCGAGCGAACGGACGAGAAGCUUGCUUCUCUGAUGUUAGCGGCGGACGGGUGAGUAACACGUGGAUAACCUACCUAUAAGACUGGGAUAACUUCGGGAAACCGAAGCUAAUACCGGAUGAUAUUUUGAACCGCAUGGUUCAAAAGUGAAAGACGGUCUUGCUGUCACUUAUAGAUGGAUCCGCGCUGCAUUAGCUAGUUGGUAAGGUAACGGCUUACCAAGGCAACGAUGCAUAGCCGACCUGAGAGGGUGAUCGGCCACACUGGAACUGAGACACGGUCCAGACUCCUACGGGAGGCAGCAGUAGCGAAUCUUCCGCAAUGGGCGAAAGCCUGACGGAGCAACGCCGCGUGAGUGAUGAAGGUCUUCGGAUCGUAAAACUCUGUUAUUAGGGAAGAACAUAUGUGUAAGUAACUGUGCACAUCUUGACGGUACCUAAUCAGAAAGCCACGGCUAACUACGUG
Molecule: ribosomal RNA, 497 nt
Filed under: uncultured bacterium
Lineage: Bacteria
Description: partial 16S ribosomal RNA
Rfam family: Bacterial small subunit ribosomal RNA
Source: RNAcentral